GGUCCAGUGGUAAAGUGGUUGACUACGCCUCCCUGUCACGGAGGAGAUCGCGGGUUCGAUUCCCGUCUGGACCGCCA
Molecule: transfer RNA, 77 nt
Filed under: Mycoplasmopsis pulmonis
Lineage: Bacteria; Bacillati; Mycoplasmatota; Mycoplasmoidales; Metamycoplasmataceae
Also listed under: 1 other name
Description: Mycoplasma pulmonis tRNA-Asp(gtc)
Rfam family: tRNA
About the family: Transfer RNA (tRNA) molecules are approximately 80 nucleotides in length. Their secondary structure includes four short double-helical elements and three loops (D, anti-codon, and T loops). Further hydrogen bonds mediate the characteristic L-shaped molecular structure. tRNAs have two regions of fundamental functional importance: the anti-codon, which is responsible for specific mRNA codon recognition, and the 3' end, to which the tRNAs corresponding amino acid is attached (by aminoacyl-tRNA synthetases). tRNAs cope with the degeneracy of the genetic code in two manners: having more than one tRNA (with a specific anti-codon) for a particular amino acid; and 'wobble' base-pairing, i.e. permitting non-standard base-pairing at the 3rd anti-codon position.
Source: RNAcentral